UUUAUACUGGAAGCCAGUGCUGGCUUGCAAAGUGCCUGGAGUGCUGGGAGCUGUGCUGCUACUUGCCUUACAGAUCCUGAUAAUAAAUUACCAGAGAAGGUACAGCUAUUGCUAACCAUAACAGCUUCUGGCACUUAAGUGAGUCACACUCACUUUUCAUCUCCAUUUUCUCUGCCUCCUACAAGCAGUAGUGUUUCUGAAGAAAGUAACUUACUACCAUUAUAUUUCACCAAAAUAAGUAAACAGUAUAAAUAAGAUGAAGUCACUGAAAGUAAAUAGAAACAUAUCUGUGUGAAUUUAUUGGGUAAGACAAGGUUCAGAGAUACUGUGAGAACAAGUCUAGAGAGGAGGUGGGAUGGAAGGCUGGAACUUAGGUGGAAAGACAGAGCCAGAACACCUGGAUGGGGGGGGACAGGAGACACUGGUGGCUGAAAGUUAGACUGGGUAAACGAGAGGCCUCUUGUAUGAAAGAACCAUAGUACAUAGGAAGAAAACAAAGAUACUUUUCCAUUAAGGGCUUAGCCUGAAGGUGGCUGCUUUGUGCUAGCUGCUUUCACGCAGCAAAUGAGCAAACCCAUCUAAUGAUACCACACAAGAUGGGAUUAUUCAGUGUUCAUCUUUCUGAAGGAAGAACUAAAUCAAAUGCUGAUCAGUAUUGCUCAGUGAGGGGACCUCUCUGGAGUCUGAAGUCCUUCCUGGAAUAUGGUCCAACCAUCAGUUAUUGGUUACUUCUGCAAGGUACUUCAUGACAGACAUCAACAGAGAUGUGAAGUUGAGGAAAAUAAAUUGUUGGCCCAAAGUCAUUCAGCAGAGCAAUAGUAGAGCCUUGAGCUGGGUUAAGUACUUCAACCAAUAUAACAUUCUCCUCAGGAGAGAAGAAUUUGCUUUGAGGACCCUUAGAAAAUUCAGUGUUUAUUUGACAAGACUUUCUAAAUGUAUACAGUCUUGGAACUGAGUAUUCCUUCUUUUCAGAGGAUAUCAACUUAAACAUUAAAGGAAGACACAAGAAAAUGUCAAGAUCAUGGUGAUAAUAUUUGCUUGCAGAAGAAAUGGCCAGAGCAGUGACAACUUUGGGCAGCAACUGUUUAAAUCACCCUGUGGAGGUGUCCCUUGGGGAGACCUCACUCUGGAUUUGUUGGUAGUGAAAUCAUUGACUUGUACCUUUACUUUCGUCACAUAUCCUGUGGAGACUUCUGCGCAAACCCAGCUUACAGACUCUCUUUGAAGGCAAGAUGAGAAUGCUCUCUUCUCUGGCACUGAGAAGCACAAGUCUUAAAACUACCUCUCAGUGAUGCUUUCAGCAGACAGGUGCAUGGUGGACCAAUGAGUGUCUACUCCUCAUCCCUCCAGUGCCAGUGGAUAUGGGAUAGAAAUCACAUGAAUGUUUUCAGCAUUGUGUCACCAUCAUUGUCCCUGUUACUUUGCCAGAAGAGCUCCUUUCUUUGCAGAGGUAUACAGACAAAGUGAUCAGUAUGUCUGUUUAAGAUUUGUAAUAAGUAAAAAAUAAAUAUUUACUCUGAAGCUUGAGUCA
Molecule: long non-coding RNA, 1531 nt
Filed under: Anas platyrhynchos platyrhynchos (common mallard)
Lineage: Eukaryota; Metazoa; Chordata; Aves; Anseriformes; Anatidae
Description: lncRNA (ENSAPLG00000021026.1)
Source: RNAcentral